This 650-nucleotide long non-coding RNA is filed under the name Gallus gallus (chicken). The record is from RNAcentral. Lineage: Eukaryota; Metazoa; Chordata; Aves; Galliformes; Phasianidae.
UGGGAAGCAGCGAGCGGGUGGGGGCACAUCCUUCUACUCCUGUUCCCCCCCAUGCUCUCCUUCCUGCUCAGUCCCCACCAUUACCCCAUUGGUGUCCUCCACUCUGCCCAAGGGGCUCUGGUGCUGCUUGGUGCUCUGAAAAUGUUUCCUGUUGGUCUCCUUCUCCCAUAGCGGGUGUGGAAGUAUUGGACUCCAGCAGCAAUAUCUGUACAUCCUCUUCUGGGAGCUGGGGGUCAGAACUGGAGGGCAGAUGUUCGUAGAAGUGGUUUUCCUUUUUUUGUUUCCCUUUUUUCCUCCCAUUCCAAUCUUUUGCUCCCCAUCCCCAGCCUUACCUUGUUGGGAUCCUUCUCCUCUGGUGUGCUGGGGGUUCUGGUGCUGCUUUGUGCUCUGAGAAAUGGUUCAGUCGUUCUCCUUCUGCAGGCGUGGAAACCUUGUGCUUCAGUAUUGGUGUUUGCACAGACUGCUGUGGGGUGGACAGUUAGGAUGGGGGGGAUAGAAGAAAGGACUGAAGGAGGGGCUCGGGAGGAUUAGAAAGGUGGGAGAAAAAGGAGAGAGAAAGGGGAGUGGAAAGUGGAAAUAAGGCAAGAUGGAGGAGCAAGAGAAGCAGGAAGGAGUUCAGUGCAGUUUGACAUGUGAAGACAUGCGAGAAG